Molecule: transfer RNA, 64 nt
Filed under: Paragonimus westermani complex sp. type 1
Lineage: Eukaryota; Metazoa; Platyhelminthes; Trematoda; Plagiorchiida; Troglotrematidae
Description: tRNA-Trp
Source: RNAcentral
AAUGGGUUAGGUUAGGUGACUGUCUGUUUUCAAAACAGAGGGGGACUCUUUAGGUUGCCCGUUG